Molecule: ribosomal RNA, 483 nt
Filed under: uncultured bacterium
Lineage: Bacteria
Description: partial 16S ribosomal RNA
Rfam family: Bacterial small subunit ribosomal RNA
Source: RNAcentral
AUUGAACGCUGGCGGCAUGCUUUACACAUGCAAGUCGAACGGCAGCGCGGGCUUCGGCCUGGCGGCGAGUGGCGAACGGGUGAGUAAUGCAUCGGAACGUGCCCAGUAGUGGGGGAUAGCCCGGCGAAAGCCGGAUUAAUACCGCAUACGACCUGUGGGUGAAAGCGGGGGACCGAAAGGCCUCGCGCUAUUGGAGCGGCCGAUGUCGGAUUAGCUAGUUGGUGGGGUAAAGGCUUACCAAGGCGACGAUCCGUAGCUGGUCUGAGAGGACGACCAGCCACACUGGGACUGAGACACGGCCCAGACUCCUACGGGAGGCAGCAGUGGGGAAUUUUGGACAAUGGGGGCAACCCUGAUCCAGCCAUGCCGCGUGCGGGAAGAAGGCCUUCGGGUUGUAAACCGCUUUUGUUCGGGAAGAAAUCCUCUGGGCUAAUACCCCGGGGGGAUGACGGUACCGGAAGAAUAAGCACCGGCUAACUACGU